GUGUUUGCUUCAGCAGCCCAUAUACUAAAAUUGGAACGAUACAGAGAAGAUUGGCAUGGCCCCUGCACAAGGAUGACAUACAAAUUCGUGAAGCAUUCCGUAUUUUA
Molecule: small nuclear RNA, 107 nt
Organism: Lemur catta (Ring-tailed lemur)
Lineage: Eukaryota; Metazoa; Chordata; Mammalia; Primates; Lemuridae
Source: RefSeq, a predicted model, not a curated record